AUUGAACGCUGGCGGCAGGCCUAACACAUGCAAGUCGAGCGGAUGAAGGGAGCUUGCUCCUGGAUUCCGCGGCGGACGGGUGAGUAAUGCCUAGGAAUCUGCCUGGUAGUGGGGGAUAACGUCCGGAGACGGGCGCUAAUACCGCAUACGUCCUGAGGGUGCAAGUGGGGGAGCUUCGGACCUCACGCUCUCAGAUGAGCCUAGGUCGGAGUAGCUAGUUGGUGGGGUAAAGGCCUACCAAGCCGGCCAUCCGUGACUGGUCUGAGAGGAUGAUCGGUCACACUGGAACUGGGACACGGUCCAGACGCCUACGGGAGGCAGCAGUGGGGAAUAUGGGACAAUGGGCGAAAGCCUGAUCCAGCGAGGCCGCGUGUGUGAAGAAGGUCUUCGGAUUGUAAAGCACUUUAAGUGGGGAGGAAGGGCAGUAAGUUAAUACCUUGCUGUUUUGACGGUACCAACAGAAUAAGCACCGGCUAACUUCGUG
RNAcentral lists this ribosomal RNA (484 nucleotides) under uncultured bacterium. Its description in RNAcentral is "partial 16S ribosomal RNA". It matches the Rfam family "Bacterial small subunit ribosomal RNA", at positions 30 to 507 of the family's 1533-position model. The record is from RNAcentral.